This 439-nucleotide ribosomal RNA is filed under the name uncultured bacterium. RNAcentral's name for it is "partial 16S ribosomal RNA". It matches the Rfam family "Bacterial small subunit ribosomal RNA", at positions 339 to 795 of the family's 1533-position model. The record is from RNAcentral.
CUACGGGGUGCUGCAGUGGGGAAUAUUGCACAAUGGGGGAAACCCUGAUGCAGCAACGCCGCGUGGAGGAUGACGCAUUUCGGUGUGUAAACUCCUUUUAUAUAGGAAGAUAAUGACGGUACUAUAUGAAUAAGCACCGGCUAACUCCGUGCCAGCAGCCGCGGUAAUACGGAGGGUGCAAGCGUUACUCGGAAUCACUGGGCGUAAAGCGCGCGCAGGCGGCUCUUUAAGUUGGAUGUGAAAGCCUACGGCUCAACCGUAGAACUGCAUCCAAAACUGAAGGGCUAGAGUCUGGGAGGGGAAGAUGGAAUUAGUUGUGUAGGGGUAAAAUCCGUAGAGAUAACUAGGAAUACCAAAAGCGAAGGCGAUCUUCUGGAACAGUACUGACGCUGAGGCGCGAAAGCGUGGGGAGCAAACAGGAUUAGAUACCCUAGUAGUC